RNAcentral lists this ribosomal RNA (305 nucleotides) under uncultured bacterium. Its description in RNAcentral is "bacterial SSU rRNA". It matches the Rfam family "Bacterial small subunit ribosomal RNA", at positions 335 to 656 of the family's 1533-position model. The record is from RNAcentral.
GUCCCUACGGGGCGCAGCAGUGGGGAAUAUUGGGCAAUGGGCGCAAGCCUGACCCAGCGACGCCGCGUGAGGGAAGACGGUCUUCGGAUUGUAAACCUCUUUCAGCAGGGAAGACAAAAGGACGGUACCUGCAGAAGAAGCCACGGCUAACUACGUGCCAGCAGCCGCGGUAAUACGUAGGUGGCAAGCGUUAUCCGGAUUUAUUGGGUUUAAAGGGUGCGUAGGCGGAUUUUUAAGUCAGCGGUAAAAUGUCCGGGCUCAACCCGGGCCGGCCGUUGAAACUGGGGAUCUUGAGUGGGCGAGAA